This 85-nucleotide transfer RNA is filed under the name Chloroflexota bacterium. Its description in RNAcentral is "Chloroflexi bacterium (wastewater metagenome) tRNA-Tyr". It matches the Rfam family "tRNA". From Rfam's summary of the family: Transfer RNA (tRNA) molecules are approximately 80 nucleotides in length. The record is from RNAcentral. Lineage: Bacteria; Bacillati; Chloroflexota.
GGGGAGAUACCCAAGUGGCCAAAGGGGGCUGGCUGUAAACCAGCUGCGCAAUGCUUCGGGGGUUCGAAUCCCUCUCUCCCCACCG